AUUGAACGCUGGCGGCAGGCCUAACACAUGCCAGUCGAGCGGAUGAAGGGAGCUUGCUCCUGGAUUCAGCGGCGGACGGGUGAGUAAUGCCUAGGAAUCUGCCUGGUAGUGGGGGAUAACGUCCGGAAACGGGCGCUAAUACCGCAUACGUCCUGCGGGAGAAAGUGGGGGAUCUUCGGACCUCACGCUAUCAGAUGAGCCUAGGUCGGAUUAGCUAGUUGGUGGGGUAAAGGCCUACCAAGGCGACGAUCCGUAACUGGUCUGAGAGGAUGAUCAGUCACACUGGAACUGAGACACGGUCCAGACUCCUACGGGAGGCAGCAGUGGGGAAUAUUGGACAAUGGGCGAAAGCCUGAUCCAGCCAUGCCGCGUGUGUGAAGAAGGUCUUCGGAUUGUAAAGCACUUUAAGUUGGGAGGAAGUGCAGUAAGUUAAUACCUUGCUGUUUUGACGUUACCAACAGAAUAAGCACCGGCUAACUUCGUG
This 484-nucleotide ribosomal RNA is filed under the name uncultured bacterium. RNAcentral describes it as "partial 16S ribosomal RNA". It matches the Rfam family "Bacterial small subunit ribosomal RNA", at positions 30 to 507 of the family's 1533-position model. The record is from RNAcentral.